UGGAAACAAGCUGUUUUAGCAUUUCAUUUACACUGAAAAGGUUCUUGCAAUUUGCAAGGUUUCUAA
RNAcentral lists this transfer RNA (66 nucleotides) under Tetraclita japonica (Japanese acorn barnacle). RNAcentral's name for it is "tRNA-Val". The record is from RNAcentral. Lineage: Eukaryota; Metazoa; Arthropoda; Thecostraca; Balanomorpha; Tetraclitidae.